CGUACACGGACGAACGACUGGCGGCGGCGCCUAACACAUGCAAGUCGAACGGAGGACAAUUAGGUAGCUUGCUUUGUAUUGUCUUAGUGGCGGACGGGUGAGUAACACGUGAGCGAACCUAGCCUUUCUACGAGGGGGAGUAAACGUUUGGUAAACGAAACGCUAAUACCGCAUGACAUAUCGGUACCGCAUGGCACUGAUAUCAAAGGAGCAAUCCGCUGAAGAUGGGUUCGGCGUCCGAUUAGCUAGAUGCGGGGUAACGGGCCCACCAUGGCGACGAUCGGUAGCCGGACUGAGAGGUUGAUCGGCCACAUUGGGACUGAGACACGGCCCAGACUCCCACGGGAGGCAGCAGUGGGGGAUAUUGCACAAUGGGGGAAACCCUGAUGCAGCGACGCCGCGUGAGGGAAGAAGGUUUUCGGAUUGUAAACCUCUGUCCUCAGUGACGAUAAUGACGGUAGCUGAGGAGGAAGCCACGGCUAACUACGUG
RNAcentral lists this ribosomal RNA (490 nucleotides) under uncultured Oscillospiraceae bacterium. RNAcentral's name for it is "bacterial SSU rRNA". It matches the Rfam family "Bacterial small subunit ribosomal RNA", at positions 36 to 507 of the family's 1533-position model. The record is from RNAcentral. Lineage: Bacteria; Bacillati; Bacillota; Clostridia; Eubacteriales; Oscillospiraceae.